Molecule: long non-coding RNA, 1454 nt
Organism: Haemorhous mexicanus (house finch)
Lineage: Eukaryota; Metazoa; Chordata; Aves; Passeriformes; Fringillidae
Exons: 2
Source: RefSeq, a predicted model, not a curated record
CACACGGAUCAGCGACAGGCGGGACCGGGCACAUGGAGCACGGAGAGGCGGACGGUCCGCCCCGCUCACGGACCGGGGUUCAGCUGCCGGUUCCCCCGGCGGGCGGCAGCAAGGGACGGGGCACAGCACCGCGCGCGGGAGACGGGGGGAAGAGUUCUUGGCAGUAACUUUCAUAUGCAGAGACGCGACAACUUGCUUUCUGCCAAAGGAGAAGAGAAGCAGCUGCCUUUCAGUGCUGUUUAAUCUUUAGCUCCAUCGCCCCUCGAGAAAAGGAAGAAAGGAAGUUAUUUAGAACGAAAGUCUUGUCGUUUGGCUGCUGGGGAUUACAGUGCGAGGGAAACUUAAUACGGUUUUCCACAGGGGAGAGCCGGGGGCAGCUCGAUCCCACCCUGCACUGCCCAUCCCGGACCGGCAUUCUCCAGCCCUUACACCCAGCAAGCAGAGCGGGCGAACAACCAAGGAGCCUUGGAUUAGAAGCAAGCUCAGUUUUGUGUUUCCAUAGGAAUGCAUGACAUCCCGGCACAGAGGAACACGAUAUACCAGUCUUAAGUCAUCUGCUCUAGGUGGCACAUGCCCAGCAAGGAGGCACAAGUGAGCUGGCAGGAGAAGAUGUGAGUUUAAACACAACUACUUGUUAAUGACAUCUACUCAAGAGCAAAAAAUACCAAGGCAUCAACUGCAGAGCUGCCCCUGUGAUCUGGAAGCAGAGCUGGAAGCCAAAAGCUUCAUCAGCUUUAUUUCCAAUUAUUAACUAAAAGUUUCAGAGAACCAGAGAGAGGUUGAAAAAAACCAACACAGUGUGAUGGCAGCUGCUUCAGGUCUUGAUAGGAGACUUGACAUGAACAAGAGGAACCUUGUCUGAAAGGUCUUGACCAUCUCCACUUCAGGGAUGGGCAGAGAAAAGGGCAAAGCAGUGGAAUUUGUGAUUCUGCAAGUUUUGCUAGGGUAUUGUUUGGUUGCAAUAAUUUAAGCAAUGUCAUCCUAUAUAGCCAAGAGUGCAGCUCUGGUAAUGGUGCCUCACAGCUGUAAAGAAAAUGCAGUGCCAGCUUGCUGCAAUGCCAAAAAAAGUCAUUUUGUUAGGCAGAAAUGAAGUCAGUUGCAAGAAGCAAUGGAAAAAUCAGGACUAAGAAAUGGAGGGUAACUCAAUCCUUCCAGAGGUCAAGAGACUGGCAAGAACCUCAUAUUCAGUAGUAACACAUACCACACAUUCACAGACUGAAAAACAAGCCCAGAACUUCUGUACAAUUCUAAUUAAUAACUUUAGGGCUUUAUUCAAGCAUUGUAGAAGACUAAAUGUACUUAGAUACUGUCCAGACACGUCAGAUUUCUUACACUUAACUACCAUUACAAGGCAAGCCUUUAAAACCUGCUGAAAACUAGUGCAGUGAUUAACUACAAGCAGCUACUCAUAACAUAUGGAUAAUAGAUUUGUAAAUAAAUUAGAUCUGGAUUAA